AUGAAGAAGGGGAAGAAUGCUGGGAAGAACAAGCAGGCUUACACCAAACUAGAGGAGAUAGCGGCCACAGAGUAUGCAGAUGUGAUCUGCUACAGAUGUGGGGAACCUGGACAUCACAAGAUUAAUUGUCCCAGCCCUCCUGUGUGUUUCAUUUGCAAGGUAGUGACACAUAAGGUGGAAGAUUGCCCAGUGAGAAGGAAACCAAGGAAUCCAGCUAAAUUUGUGGGUAGUGGAGCCCCUGGUCUGGGAUAUCACCAAAUUGAUGUGCCAGAUGUGAAUGACCAACACAUAGGAGCAAGGAGGAAUGUGGGACUGGUCUAUGUGGAGUCAGGACAAGUGGACAAACAAGAGCUAGGGCAUAAUUUCUCUCUGAUUUACAAGACAAACUGGCCUUGGCAGAUCAGGAAGCUGGAUGAGUGGACUUUCUUGGUAAAGUUUCCACCUCACAUACCAGUUGAAAGUGUUGCUAGAUACCCACUGUUUGGGCUGCCUGAAAUGGAUGGGGUCACAGUAAAUGUAGAGGUCUGGAAAGGAACCUUGGAGCACUACAGUGAACUCCAAAAAGUGUGGCUUAAAUUGGAGGGGAUUGCUCCAGCUUGGGCUAAGUGGUCUGUGCUAGAACAAUUUGCAUCAGUUUUUGGAACUCUGAUUGAUGUAGACUGGCUGGGUAACUUCAAGUCUUUCUUUGAAACUGUCAGAAUCAAGAUCAGGUGCAAAGAUCACACAAAAAUCCCCCCUGAUAGGCUAUUUGGAAUUGGAGAUCAUCUAUUCAAGGUCAAAAUUACUGUAGAGCCUCCUGUGGAAGAAGCAGACAUGGAGGAACCUGCUUAUGAGGACAUUGAAGACAGCAGCAAUGAAGCUGGCCAGGACAAGGAAAAAAGAGAUGCAGGAAGGAGCACCAAAGAAAAGGACUCUUCUAGAACAGGGUCCACACACUCCCUUCAAGGCAGCAAAUCAGCUAGUGGCAAUUCAAAUCAAAAUACCAAGCAAAAAGUGAUCAGUUACCUACAGCAGCUACAGGAACCCAUCACCAUGGGGCAGAGCUACAGUCUCCUCCAAGAAAUGGAAUUGAUGGAUGAUGAGGAUGACCUGGAAAAGAAUAUCUCUUUGGAGGACAGCAUAACUAAAGAAGUGGAAAUGAAUUUCAGCCCACAGCUUGAUACAAUCUUGGGGAGGAAGGAUCAAAACAACCCAAAACCACACAGCAAAUGGGGGCCAGUUCAAGCUCAAAGGAAAAGCAGUAGAGUUAAUAUAGGGGAUAGAUCAAUGAUGGAAAUUGCUAUGAACAACAAAAAAGUGCAGAAUUUAGAGAUGGGGAAGAAAAACAACAAAGAUCUGGAGGAAAGUGUUGGGAUCGUUGAGGAGAUGGUCGAUCUUGCUCAAAGAGGAAAUGGAGCCUCUUUGGGACAAGAUAUCACACCAAAUUUCCUUGAUCUUGGAAUCACCGUUCCAAAUUCUGGUGGGGUGAUUCCACUGGGAACAUCGUCUGCUGGAGAAGUUGAUCAAUCCCUUCUCAAGCUGAAGCUGGACGAUUACAAGAUAUCUGGCGAAAAGAACCCAUACUCAUCACCUCCAAGGAGUCCUCCUGGUGGCAUCAAGCACUGCCUGCUUAGCCCAGUCACCCCUCUGGACCUGCUGGGCUCUCCGACCCAGCCAUGGAAGAAGCUCAGAGGAGUGGCGGCAGAGCUGGGGAUCGACAAGACUGGUGGCCAUGGGGGGGACAUGUCGAGCAUCAUGCUUGCAUCUUAG
This 1749-nucleotide ribosomal RNA is filed under the name Triticum aestivum (bread wheat). Its description in RNAcentral is "partial small subunit ribosomal RNA". Lineage: Eukaryota; Viridiplantae; Streptophyta; Magnoliopsida; Poales; Poaceae. The record is from RNAcentral.